RNAcentral lists this ribosomal RNA (440 nucleotides) under uncultured Carnobacterium sp. Its description in RNAcentral is "bacterial SSU rRNA". It matches the Rfam family "Bacterial small subunit ribosomal RNA", at positions 358 to 790 of the family's 1533-position model. The record is from RNAcentral. Lineage: Bacteria; Bacillati; Bacillota; Bacilli; Lactobacillales; Carnobacteriaceae.
GGAAUCUUCCGCAAUGGACGAAAGUCUGACGGAGCAAUGCCGCGUGAGUGAAGAAGGUUUUCGGAUCGUAAAACUCUGUUGUUAGAGAAGAACAAGGAUGAGAGUAACUGCUCAUCCCCUGACGGUAUCUAACCAGAAAGCCACGGCUAACUACGUGCCAGCAGCCGCGGUAAUACGUAGGUGGCAAGCGUUGUCCGGAUUUAUUGGGCGUAAAGCGAGCGCAGGCGGUUCUUUAAGUCUGAUGUGAAAGCCCCCGGCUCAACCGGGGAGGGUCAUUGGAAACUGGAGAACUUGAGUGCAGAAGAGGAGAGUGGAAUUCCACGUGUAGCGGUGAAAUGCGUAGAUAUGUGGAGGAACACCAGUGGCGAAGGCGACUCUCUGGUCUGUAACUGACGCUGAGGCUCGAAAGCGUGGGGAGCAAACAGGAUUAGAUACCCUGG